RNAcentral lists this transfer RNA (86 nucleotides) under Vibrio metschnikovii. Its description in RNAcentral is "tRNA-Leu". Lineage: Bacteria; Pseudomonadati; Pseudomonadota; Gammaproteobacteria; Vibrionales; Vibrionaceae. The record is from RNAcentral.
GCUCUUGUGGCGUAAUUGGUAGGCGCGGAAGGUUGAGAGCCUUCUAGUGGAAACACUGUCCCAGUUCAAAUCUGAACUGAGCACCA